AUUGAACGCUGGCGGCAGGCCUAACACCUGCAAGUCGAACGAGUGGCGGACGGGUGAGUAAUGUCUGGGAAACUGCCCGAUGGAGGGGGAUAACUACUGGAAACGGUAGCUAAAAACGCAUACCAUCGGAUGUGCCCAGGUGGGAUUAGCUAGUAGGUGGGGUAACGGCUCACCUAGGCGACGCUCCCUAGCUGGUCGGCUAGGAUGAACAGCCACACUGGAAGUGAGACAAGUUCCAGACUACUACGCGAGUCAGCAGUGGGGAAUAUUGCACAAUGGGCGCGAGCCUGAUGCAGCCAUGCCGCGUGGAUUAAGAAGGCCGUCGGGUUGGAAAGUACGUGCAGCGAGGAUGCGUUACUCGCAGAAGAAGCACCGGCUAACUCCGUGCCAGCAGCCGCGGUAAUUC
Molecule: ribosomal RNA, 406 nt
Filed under: uncultured bacterium
Lineage: Bacteria
Description: partial 16S ribosomal RNA
Rfam family: Bacterial small subunit ribosomal RNA
Source: RNAcentral